AGCCACUCAAUGCACACAUAGUGAACUAUUCUUUUAUUUCUUACUGAAGAAAGAAUUCCCUGUGUGAAUUGCAAAUAAUGGUAUACGUCAAUUUUUGGAGGGAUUCUCUAUAUUGAGGAUC
Small nuclear RNA from Capsicum annuum, 121 nucleotides. RefSeq annotates it as U5 spliceosomal RNA. NCBI's taxonomy places the organism in Eukaryota, Viridiplantae, Streptophyta, Magnoliopsida, Solanales, Solanaceae. The record is from RefSeq and is a predicted model, not a curated record. The transcript has a single exon.